Non-coding RNA from Salmo salar (Atlantic salmon), 54 nucleotides. NCBI's taxonomy places the organism in Eukaryota, Metazoa, Chordata, Actinopteri, Salmoniformes, Salmonidae. The record is from Rfam.
AAUGCACCAAUUUGUAAGUCGCUCCGGAUAAGAGCGUCUGCUAAAUGACUUAAA